Non-coding RNA from Misgurnus anguillicaudatus (oriental weatherfish), 1470 nucleotides. Lineage: Eukaryota; Metazoa; Chordata; Actinopteri; Cypriniformes; Cobitidae. The record is from RefSeq and is a predicted model, not a curated record.
UCAAGUUCACGUCAGAGCGAAGAUGAGCCUCGAGGCGUGACAGUUAUUUUUUCAAACUGAGGAGUUCGGACUCCGGACCGGCAUUUCUGCUUGUUUGUACCCUGAGAUGCUGCAUGGAAUGACAAUGUGGUUUGGAACAGACUUGGUGAAGAACAUGGAAACAUCUCUUAAUAAAAUGGCCCCAAACAUCAUCAGGAGUGCAAAAGAAGGAAGUAAAAAACAUCUCUACGCCAAUCUCAUUGGAGAGGAAACCACAGAAGGUCUGGUGAGGAAUGCUGCACUUAUGUUAUUGCAAGCAUUAUUUCAAGAAAAUCCCAGCUUCCUUGACUGUGUAAAUAGUGAACCCAAAGGUCCCACAUCAACCAUAGUGUUCAACGGCUCUCCUGAUCUUCUCAAAUCUGAAAGUAUCAACUUUAUAAUGGACAAUGUGAACUUAAUGUGGAAGACAUUGACAUCACAGGCUGUGGAAUGACUGUGUCACAGGUCGGAGAAGCGGACCGCCCCUGUCGCGGAUCACGCUCCUCCUAGUUCCACCUCGAGGAGGUCCCAAAGCACCCCAAUGACCAGACAAACCAGAGAUAAGUAAAAUAUAGAAAUAGAAACAUUAUUUAAAUUAUUUAAAACUAAAGUGGGGAAUGGGAAAGGGAAUCUAAAAAUCUCGCUUCUCGCCCUCAGGGGGAGUAUUACGGGGCCAGGGACGUUGGAGGGGUUUCCACGUGACUCCAGCUGGAACACCGCUACAGAGCGUAUCUGGGUGGGUUGGGCACACACCGUCGCGGCGGCCCCUGAUGGCAUCCACAAAGGUCCAAGACCCUCCUAAGCUCCUAGCCGUAGCAGAACUACGUAUUUCAGCACCCGAAGGACUAACAACCCAGCCGGCAUCUGCAGCGUAUAUCCAACGCGAUCAAACUUCACUCUGACAAGUAACUUCCUAUACACAACCACGCCGUCCUUUCGCCCGGACCAGCCCCGCACUCUUUCCGCCCGCUACCUAGCGGUCGCCGGAUCAGCAGAGCCUGCGGACUCUUCGGAGGCUGGUCUUCGUUGUGCUGCCCAAGGCGGAAGUUGACUCGCCCGAAAAUCGACCCUUCCAGUAACUUCUACCUUCUCUCUUUAUAUCCUCCUCCAUGGCGUGGCUCGCCCAACCAUCGCUCGCCACGUCACUCACACAGCUGUGCCUUGUUUCAGCGAGUGCGGGGAUUCCCGGGGAACCCGGAAGUGCCGGUGUCUGUACAAACCGGUCCGGGCGGAACCUCUUCACUCUCCUUUUGGUUCCGCCCCGCAUAGUCACUCCGUGACAACUGUUUGCGUUUUUUUUUUCUCCUCAAUGUUCAAUACCCUUUUGCCAUUAAGCACACAGUGACUUUAAUUUAUAAAAUAUAUGCUUAAGUUUUAAUACCUGUACAAAACAAAUGUACAAUCAACUUGUGUAAAUUGUCAUUCUAUUUAAUAGAUUGUUCAUGAAUUGUC